GAAAAGGUUGAGAGAAAGAGGAGUACGCAAAGAUCCCUUGCAAGAGAGGAUCACUCAUGGGCUGAAAGGUGAUUUCAAGAAGGAAUUGUGGAAGUAGCUUUUGAACCGGACGACUGAAGCGGCAGCAAUGCUGACAGUAGGUAGUCACGGAUCGUCCCCGUUAUCGGACGCUAGAGAUAUCGAUCUGCUUUUGUACAGAGAUUUACGGAGUAUGGAGCAGAGAGAUAACAAAGGUGGUACCGCGAUCAUUCGCCCUUUAC
Molecule: non-coding RNA, 260 nt
Filed under: Lachnospiraceae bacterium
Lineage: Bacteria; Bacillati; Bacillota; Clostridia; Lachnospirales; Lachnospiraceae
Description: T-box sequence
Rfam family: T-box leader
About the family: Uncharged tRNA acts as the effector for transcription antitermination of genes in the T-box leader family. T-boxes are found upstream of many aminoacyl-tRNA synthetase genes and some amino acid biosynthetic genes usually in Gram-positive bacteria.
Source: RNAcentral